UGCCGCCAUGGCGCAGUGGUAACGCGUCGCACUUGUACCACUUGGACAGAACAACUGUCUUUCAUGUCGUGAAAUGCGAAGAUCCCUAGUUCAAUUCUGGGUGGCGGCA
This 109-nucleotide transfer RNA is filed under the name Pseudogymnoascus verrucosus. RNAcentral describes it as "partial tRNA-Thr". It matches the Rfam family "tRNA". From Rfam's summary of the family: Transfer RNA (tRNA) molecules are approximately 80 nucleotides in length. Their secondary structure includes four short double-helical elements and three loops (D, anti-codon, and T loops). The record is from RNAcentral. Lineage: Eukaryota; Fungi; Ascomycota; Leotiomycetes; Thelebolales; Thelebolaceae.